RNAcentral lists this transfer RNA (72 nucleotides) under Trichonephila clavipes. It matches the Rfam family "tRNA". From Rfam's summary of the family: Transfer RNA (tRNA) molecules are approximately 80 nucleotides in length. Lineage: Eukaryota; Metazoa; Arthropoda; Arachnida; Araneae; Nephilidae. The record is from Rfam by way of RNAcentral.
GUUCCUGUAGAGCAAUGAUAGCGCGUUGGACUUCUAAUCCAAAGGUCGUGGGUCCGAAUCCCACCUAGGAUG